This 868-nucleotide ribosomal RNA is filed under the name uncultured bacterium. Its description in RNAcentral is "bacterial SSU rRNA". It matches the Rfam family "Bacterial small subunit ribosomal RNA", at positions 9 to 873 of the family's 1533-position model. The record is from RNAcentral.
GAGUUUGAUCAUGGCUCAGGAUGAACGCUAGCGGCAGGCCUAAUACAUGCAAGUCGAGGGGCAGCACAGGGUAGCAAUACCUGGGUGGCGACCGGCAAACGGGUGCGGAACACGUACGUAACCUUCCUCCGAGAGGGGCAUAGCCCGGAGAAAUCCGGAUUAAUACCCCGUAAGAUUGUGGAUAGGCAUCUAUCAGCAAUAAAAACUCUGGUGCUUGGAGAUGGGCGUGCGCCUGAUUAGGUAGUUGGUGAGGUAACGGCUCACCAAGCCGACGAUCAGUAACUGGCGUGAGAGCGCGGCCAGUCACACGGGCACUGAGACACGGGCCCGACUCCUACGGGAGGCAGCAGUAAGGAAUAUUGGUCAAUGGACGCAAGUCUGAACCAGCCAUGCCGCGUGGAGGAUGAAGGUCCUCUGGAUUGUAAACUUCUUUUAUCUGGGAAGAAACGCAUUUUAUCUAAAGUGCUUGACGGUACCAGAAGAAUAAGCACCGGCUAACUCCGUGCCAGCAGCCGCGGUAAUACGGAGGGUGCAAGCGUUAUCCGGAUUCACUGGGUUUAAAGGGUGCGUAGGCGGAAUUGUAAGUCCGUGGUGAAAUCUCCGAGCUUAACUCGGAAACUGCCCUGGAUACUAUAGUUCUUGAAUAUUGUGGAGGUUAGCGGAAUAUGUCAUGUAGCGGUGAAAUGCAUAGAUAUGACAUAGAACACCAAUUGCGUAGGCAGCUGGCUACACAAAUAUUGACGCUGAUGCACGAAAGCGUGNGGAUCAAACAGGAUUAGAUACCCUGGUAGUCCACGCCCUAAACGAUGAUUACUCGACAUUUGCGAUACACAGUAAGUGUCUUAGCGAAAAGCGUAAGUAAUCCACC